AGACAGAGAGGGCAGGGGAAACUGCCAUUUUUAAGCUAUCAGAUCUUGUCAGAACUCCGUCACUAUCACGAGAAGAGCAUGAGGGAAACUGCCCCCAUGACCCAAUCACCUCCCACCAUCCCCCGCUCAACACGUGGGGAUGACAAUUCAAGAUGGAAUUGUGUGGGGACACAGAGCCAAACCAUAUCAAGUACCUACAAAAUUAUGGUGACUCUUCACUAAUUUGCAAACUGAUUAUCUGCAAAUCUUAAAUAGGGAAUAAAACACAAAAAUAUCAUUAUCCCUCCAGAACUGAGGACGCAAAUUGGAUUUAGAAGACUUAGCUUUGACACCUAGAUAUGUUUUCAUUGAUUUGACCUAACUUGAUCUCAGUUUCUCUUUUAUAGAGUUAGUUCUUUAGAUCAGAGGUCCCCAACCCCAGGACUGCGGACUGCCACUGGUCUUUGGCCUGUCAGGCACCCGGCCACACAGCUGGAGUGUGAAAAAAAAGGAAAAAACUGAAAAUCUCAAGAGGAUUCCAGGAAAUCAAAACAAUGAAUUAUUGAAUCAAGAAUUUGAAAGAGAAAAUAGAUGCAUACUGAAAAAAGAAUUUUGUUUAGUGAGAUAGAUGUAAUAAUGAAGGCAUGUUGAUAACGGGGGAGCUAUGUAUAUAUGAGGGGAGGGAUAUAUUGGAAAUCUCUGUAUCUUCCUCUCAAUCUUGCUGUGAUCCUAAAACUGCUCUAAAAAAUAUUUUGAGAAGGAAUAA
Long non-coding RNA from Homo sapiens (human), 745 nucleotides. Ensembl annotates it as MTUS1 divergent transcript. Its record names the gene MTUS1-DT. The record is from Ensembl. NCBI's taxonomy places the organism in Eukaryota, Metazoa, Chordata, Mammalia, Primates, Hominidae.